GCGGUAUUUUGACCGUGCUAAGGUAGCAUAAUCAAUUGUUUUUUAAUUGAAAACUAGUAUGAACGGUUUAAUUUACUUAAUUAGUUUGUAAUUUUUAAUAGUAAGUUAAAUAUAAAGUAAGAAUUCUUUAAUAAAUUAGGGGACGAUAAGACCCUAAAAGCUUUAUGAUCGGCAUUUAAUUGGUGAUAGCGGUGUUAUUAAUUCACUGGGGCAGUGAGUUUAGGUAUAUUUAAGUAUAAUUAAAAGCUCCUUUAAAUAAAGAUUUCAUGUAUAAGUUACUUUAGGGAUAACAGUGCAAUAUAUUUGGGGAGACCAUAUCUAUAAAUAUGAUUGCAACCUCGAUGU
Molecule: ribosomal RNA, 345 nt
Filed under: Dikerogammarus haemobaphes
Lineage: Eukaryota; Metazoa; Arthropoda; Malacostraca; Amphipoda; Gammaridae
Description: partial 16S ribosomal RNA
Source: RNAcentral